RNAcentral lists this unclassified non-coding RNA (197 nucleotides) under plant metagenome. RNAcentral's name for it is "partial contains small subunit ribosomal RNA, internal transcribed spacer 1, and 5.8S ribosomal RNA". The record is from RNAcentral.
UCUCCGUUGGUGAACCAGCGGAGGGAUCAUUACCGAGUGCAAACUCAUAACCCUUUGUGAACCUAUAUCUAUUGCUUCGGCGGCUCGCUCUCGGGCGGGCCCGCCGGUAAUAUCAGUAUCUCUGUUUGAACCCGACGAUACUUCUGAGUGUUCUUAGCGAACAGUCAAAACUUUUAACAACGGAUCUCUUGGCUCUA